Molecule: ribosomal RNA, 253 nt
Filed under: uncultured bacterium
Lineage: Bacteria
Description: partial 16S ribosomal RNA
Rfam family: Bacterial small subunit ribosomal RNA
Source: RNAcentral
GACAGAGGGUGCAAACGUUGUUCGGAAUUACUGGGCGUAAAGCGCGUGUAGGCGGCCAUGCAAGUCGGAUGUGAAAGCCCUCGGCUCAACCGGGGAAGUGCACCCGAAACUGCAAGGCUAGAGUCUCGGAGAGGAUCGUGGAAUUCUCGGUGUAGAGGUGAAAUUCGUAGAUAUCGAGAGGAACACCGGUGGCGAAGGCGGCGAUCUGGGCCAAUACUGACGCUGAGGUGCGAAAGCGUGGGGAGCAAACAGG